UGGGGAAUUUUCCGCAAUGGGCGAAAGCCUGACGGAGCAACGCCGCGUGAGGGAUGAAGGCCUCUGGGCUGUAAACCUCUUUUAUCAAGGAAGAAGAUCUGACGGUACUUGAUGAAUAAGCCACGGCUAAUUCCGUGCCAGCAGCCGCGGUAAUACGGGAGUGGCAAGCGUUAUCCGGAAUUAUUGGGCGUAAAGCGUCCGCAGGCGGCCUCGUAAGUCUGUCGUUAAAGCGUGGAGCUUAACUCCAUUUCAGCGGUGGAAACUGUGAGGCUAGAGUGUGGUAGGGGCAGAGGGAAUUCCCGGUGUAGCGGUGAAAUGCGUAGAUAUCGGGAAGAACACCAGUGGCGAAGGCGCUCUGCUGGGCCAUAACUGACGCUCAUGGACGAAAGCCAGGGGAGCGAAAGGGAUUAGAUACCCCUGUAGUC
RNAcentral lists this ribosomal RNA (425 nucleotides) under uncultured cyanobacterium. RNAcentral describes it as "bacterial SSU rRNA". It matches the Rfam family "Bacterial small subunit ribosomal RNA", at positions 355 to 795 of the family's 1533-position model. Lineage: Bacteria; Bacillati; Cyanobacteriota. The record is from RNAcentral.